GACGAACGCUGGCGGCGUGCUUAACACAUGCAAGUCGAACGGAAAGGCCCUGCUUUUGUGGGGUGCUCGAGUGGCGAACGGGUGAGUAACACGUGAGUAACCUGCCCUUGACUUUGGGAUAACUUCAGGAAACUGGGGCUAAUACCGGAUAGGAGCUCCGGCUGCAUGGUGGGGGUUGGAAAGUUUCGUCGGUUGGGGAUGGACUCGCGGCUUAUCAGCUUGUUGGUGGGGUAGUGGCUUACCAAGGCGUUGACGGGUAGCCGGCCUGAGAGGGUGACCGGCCACACGGGGAAUGAGGCACGGCCCAGACUCAUACGGGGGGCAGCAGUGGGGGAGAGUGCACAAGGGGCGAAAGCAUGAUGCAGCAACGCCGCGUGAGGGACGACGGCCGACGGGAUGGAAACCUAAUGUAGCAGGGAAGAAGCGAAAGUGACGGAAGCUGCAGAAAAAGCGCGGACUAGCUAGGUG
This 468-nucleotide ribosomal RNA is filed under the name uncultured bacterium. RNAcentral describes it as "partial 16S ribosomal RNA". It matches the Rfam family "Bacterial small subunit ribosomal RNA", at positions 28 to 507 of the family's 1533-position model. The record is from RNAcentral.